Molecule: ribosomal RNA, 331 nt
Filed under: Lynceus tatei
Lineage: Eukaryota; Metazoa; Arthropoda; Branchiopoda; Diplostraca; Lynceidae
Description: SSU rRNA
Rfam family: Eukaryotic small subunit ribosomal RNA
Source: RNAcentral
UAAGUACAAAUCUUGACGAUGAAACCGCGAAUGGCUCAUUAAAUCAGUUAUGGUUCCUUAGAUCGUACUAUCCUACUUGGAUAACUGUGGUAAUUCUAGAGCUAAUACAUGCAACUAAGCCCUGACCUCACGGAAAGGGUGCUUUUAUUAGAUCAAAACCAAUCGGACUUCGGUCCGUCCAUUUUGGUGACUCUGAAUAACCUGAGUAGAUCGCACGGUCUUGCACCGGCGACGCAUCUUUCAAAUGUCUGCCUUAUCAACUGUCGAUGGUAGGUUAUGCGCCUACCAUGGUUGCAACGGGUAACGGGGAAUCAGGGUUCGAUUCCGGAGA